CGCCGCGUGAGGGACGAAGGCCUUCGGGUUGUAAACCUCUUUUAGCAGGGAAGAAGCGAAAGUGACGGUACCUGCAGAAAAAGCACCGGCUAACUACGUGCCAGCAGCCGCGGUAAUACGUAGGGUGCAAGCGUUGUCCGGAAUUAUUGGGCGUAAAGAGCUCGUAGGCGGUUUGUCACGUCUGCUGUGAAAUUUCGAGGCUCAACCUCGAACUUGCAGUGGGUACGGGCAGGCUAGAGUGCGGUAGGGGAGAUGGGAAUUCCUGGUGUAGCGGUGGAAUGCGCAGAUAUCAGGAGGAACACCAAUGGCGAAGGCACAUCUCUGGGCCGUAACUGACGCUGAGGAGCGAAAGCAUGGGGAGCAAACAGGAUUAGAUACCCUGGUAGUCCAUGCCGUAAACGGUGGGUGCUAGCUGUGGGCCACAUUCCACGUGGUCCGUGACGAAGUUAACACAUUAAGCACCCCGCCUGGGGAGUACGGCCGCAAGGCU
Molecule: ribosomal RNA, 490 nt
Filed under: uncultured marine bacterium
Lineage: Bacteria
Description: bacterial SSU rRNA
Rfam family: Bacterial small subunit ribosomal RNA
Source: RNAcentral